GUGAACGCUGGCGGUAGGCCUAACACAUGCCAGUCGCACGGCAGCACAGUAAGAGCUUGCUCUUACGGGUGGCGAGUGGCGGACGGGUGAGGAAUACAUCGGAAUCUACUUUUUCGUGGGGGAUAACGUAGGGAAACUUACGCUAAUACCGCAUACGACCUACGGGUGAAAGCAGGGGAUCUUCGGACCUUGCGCGAUUGAAUGAGCCGAUGUCGGAUUAGCUAGUUGGCGGGGUAAAGGCCCACCAAGGCGACGAUCCGUAGCUGGUCUGAGAGGAUGAUCAGCCACACUGAACUGAGACACGGUCCAGACUCCUACGGGAGGCAGCAGUGGGGAAUAUUGGACAAUGGGCGCAAGCCUGAUCCAGCCAUACCGCGUGGGUGAAGAAGGCCUUCGGGUUGUAAAGCCCUUUUGUUGGGAAAGAAAAGCAGCAGGUUAAUACCCCGCUGUUCUGACGGUACCCAAAGAAUAAGCACCGGCUAACUUCGUG
This 490-nucleotide ribosomal RNA is filed under the name uncultured bacterium. Its description in RNAcentral is "partial 16S ribosomal RNA". It matches the Rfam family "Bacterial small subunit ribosomal RNA", at positions 29 to 507 of the family's 1533-position model. The record is from RNAcentral.